RNAcentral lists this transfer RNA (67 nucleotides) under Simplicia niphona. RNAcentral's name for it is "tRNA-Met". The record is from RNAcentral. Lineage: Eukaryota; Metazoa; Arthropoda; Insecta; Lepidoptera; Erebidae.
UUAAAAAUAAGCUAAAUUAAGCUUUUGGGCUCAUACCCCAACUAUAAAGGAAAUCCUUUUUUUUAAA